Drosophila melanogaster (fruit fly) is the source of this 147-nucleotide small nucleolar RNA. The record is from Ensembl. Lineage: Eukaryota; Metazoa; Arthropoda; Insecta; Diptera; Drosophilidae.
CAAUACCUGUCAUGCGAAUGAAAAAGCCAUAACUGAAAUGGAUCUUUAUGGCAAAACGGAGAUGACAGGAUAUGAAGAGCGCACUCAAGAUGCCUUCACAUGCAACUAACAAAAUGUGAAAGGUUUUUAAAGUUGCGAACAAUGGCA